UAAGGGAAAGAAACAAAGCAGAGGUGAGGUGACUCAGAAAUGCCUGUACUUUGUCAGGAUAAAAUUACUACCUAAGAAAAUUGAAAUCAAAGGCAGCCUGAACAUGAACUGAAAUCAUGCGGUGGCAGGCAGACCUCCAGGCACCAAAGUGUCUUUGAACAGGCUGGCAGGUGGGAGCUGAGAGCGUGUGUAACCCAGAUCUAGGGCAGAGUCGGGGCCAGGAGAUGCCUCCAGGGAGGCAGGGAAUGCCCGCUCUGUACAGCCCGUUAAAGAUUUCUAAUAUGCAAUGUUGUGUAGGGUCUGUGAGAAAUCCUUUAAUGUGGGAAUCUGUUUAACUUUCU
RNAcentral lists this long non-coding RNA (341 nucleotides) under Bos taurus (domestic cattle). RNAcentral describes it as "long non-coding RNA NONBTAT011814". The record is from RNAcentral. Lineage: Eukaryota; Metazoa; Chordata; Mammalia; Artiodactyla; Bovidae.